Molecule: long non-coding RNA, 656 nt
Organism: Physella acuta
Lineage: Eukaryota; Metazoa; Mollusca; Gastropoda; Physidae
Source: RefSeq, a predicted model, not a curated record
UUAUAUGUCCGUCUUAACUCGGCGUCGCCUUGGUAUAAAUUCUGCAUAAAAUUUUAUACCUCAACACAGGAGCCUACAAAAGCUCGGCUCUGUCCUGGCUCGCCCCAAACACCCGGGGAUCUCCUCUUGGCUCAACUCUACUGCAUUGUUUAUUUAAUUUUGUUUUUCUAAAUGAGAUUGGGAGAAGUGGAGAGAAAAAGAAAGGGAUAUGUUUCACACAUAGGUAACCGUGACGUCAAGGUUAAAAACUCCACAAUGCGGACCAGCAGAGAAAAUCCUGGUGCUUUCUCCGGUGUUGCUGUUGUCGGGCGUCGCUGUGGUCUGGGUGGCGCCGGGCAGGGAUGUGGUGUCAAUGUGGUGGUGCUGGCGCCGGGCAGACCCGCGGUGAAAUUUGAAACAAACAGGAACGUUCUGGAAGAAAGUGGCCGUCUUUGAUGAGAUCUUACCUGGAGAUUUCACCUGUCGUCACCUGAGUCUGCGGCUUGUCGGCGGUUUUCUCUUUGAAAUCUAGGACCAAGAUUUCUUUGAUCCGGUGUUUAGACCGUCACACACUCCAUGAUGAGGAACAUGAAAGGGAAACAACAAGAAUGGGUCCUGGACAGUCAUAAAAAUACAGCGCCCUUCUUUUGUAUUCUCCCAGCUUUCAUGUGCAUUGU